GGGGGACCUUCGGGCCUCUUGCCAUCGGAUGUGCCCAGAUGGGAUUAGCUAGUAGGUGGGGUAACGGCUCACCUAGGCGACGAUCCCUAGCUGGUCUGAGAGGAUGACCAGCCACACUGGAACUGAGACACGGUCCAGACUCCUACGGGAGGCAGCAGUGGGGAAUAUUGCACAAUGGGCGCAAGCCUGAUGCAGCCAUGCCGCGUGUAUGAAGAAGGCCUUCGGGUUGUAAAGUACUUUCAGCGGGGAGGAAGGGAGUAAAGUUAAUACCUUUGCUCAUUGACGUUACCCGCAGAAGAAGCACCGGCUAACUCCGUGCCAGCAGCCGCGGUAAUACGGAGGGUGCACAGCUGUUAUAUCGGAAGUUCCCGGACAUACUCACCCUCCCCACUUUCCC
This 397-nucleotide ribosomal RNA is filed under the name Escherichia coli. RNAcentral's name for it is "bacterial SSU rRNA". The stretch from base 1 to 347 matches the Rfam family "Bacterial small subunit ribosomal RNA", at positions 194 to 536 of the family's 1533-position model. The record is from RNAcentral. Lineage: Bacteria; Pseudomonadati; Pseudomonadota; Gammaproteobacteria; Enterobacterales; Enterobacteriaceae.